AGUUACUGGAUGCCGGGAGAGAUG
This 24-nucleotide non-coding RNA is filed under the name Arabidopsis thaliana (thale cress). The record is from RNAcentral. Lineage: Eukaryota; Viridiplantae; Streptophyta; Magnoliopsida; Brassicales; Brassicaceae.